ACAGUUAGAGAGGGCCUCUGCUGAUGUGGUGAACACAUGGAUAUGCCUUAGACUGAGCAGGGCAUGAGAAAAGAGCAAACCAGUGCAACUUCAUCAUGCAGGAAUACACUUAAGUGACAAAUCAGAUCAACUGAGGGUAGUGAACCAGCAGCUACCAGGGUUGUGCGGUAAGAAAAGGGAGGGUGCAAACAGAAAAGCUGUAAGAGCAAUGGACCUGCAGGAAAUAUAUGUCAGAGGAAGUUCGGCUGGAGUACUACGAACAGGCCUGA
Long non-coding RNA from Lolium rigidum, 269 nucleotides. RefSeq lists it as uncharacterized. The record is from RefSeq and is a predicted model, not a curated record. The transcript is spliced from 3 exons. NCBI's taxonomy places the organism in Eukaryota, Viridiplantae, Streptophyta, Magnoliopsida, Poales, Poaceae.